GGGCAACCCUGGUGGCGAGUGGCGAACGGGUGAGUAAUAAAUCGGUACGUGCCCAGUAGUGGGGGAUAACCAGUCGAAAGACUGGCUAAUACCGCAUACGACCUACGGGUGAAAGCGGGGGAUCGCAAGACCUCGCGCUAUCGGAGCGGCCGAUUUCCGAUUAGCUAGUUGGUGAGGUAAAGGCUCACCAAGGCGACGAUCGGUAGCUGGUCUGAGAGGACGGCCAGCCACACUGGGACUGAGACACGGCCCAGACUCCUACGGGAGGCAGCAGUGGGGAAUUUUGGACAAUGGGCGAAAGCCUGAUCCAGCCAUGCCGCGUGCGGGAAGAAGGCCUUCGGGUUGUAAACCGCUUUUGGCAGGAACGAAAAGGCGCGGGCUAAUACCUCGCGCUAAUGACGGUACCUGCAGAAUAAGCACCGGCUAACUACGUGCCAGCAGCCGCGGUAAUACGUAGGGUGCGAGCGUUAAUCGGAAUUACUGGGCGUAAAGCGUACGCAGGCGGCUUGGUUAGACAGAUGUGAAAUCCCC
RNAcentral lists this ribosomal RNA (531 nucleotides) under uncultured bacterium. RNAcentral's name for it is "bacterial SSU rRNA". It matches the Rfam family "Bacterial small subunit ribosomal RNA", at positions 77 to 604 of the family's 1533-position model. The record is from RNAcentral.